This 301-nucleotide ribosomal RNA is filed under the name uncultured bacterium. Its description in RNAcentral is "partial 16S ribosomal RNA". It matches the Rfam family "Bacterial small subunit ribosomal RNA", at positions 509 to 807 of the family's 1533-position model. The record is from RNAcentral.
CAGUCGCCGCGGUAAUACGAAGGGUGCAAGCGUUACUCGGAAUUACUGGGCGUAAAGCGUGCGUAGGUGGUGGUUUAAGUCCGUUGUGAAAGCCCUGGGCUCAACCUGGGAAUUGCAGUGGAUACUGGGUCACUAGAGUGUGGUAGAGGAUAGUGGAAUUUCCGGUGUAGCAGUGAAAUGCGUAGAGAUCGGAAGGAACAUCUGUGGCGAAGGCGACUAUCUGGGCCAACACUGACACUGAGGCACGAAAGCGUGGGGAGCAGACAGGAUUAGAUACCCGAGUAGUCCCUGUCUCUUAUAC